RNAcentral lists this ribosomal RNA (540 nucleotides) under Paenibacillus ginsengarvi. RNAcentral's name for it is "bacterial SSU rRNA". It matches the Rfam family "Bacterial small subunit ribosomal RNA", at positions 1000 to 1533 of the family's 1533-position model. Lineage: Bacteria; Bacillati; Bacillota; Bacilli; Caryophanales; Paenibacillaceae. The record is from RNAcentral.
CUAGAGAUAGGGUAGGCCUUCGGGACAGGGGAGACAGGUGGUGCAUGGUUGUCGUCAGCUCGUGUCGUGAGAUGUUGGGUUAAGUCCCGCAACGAGCGCAACCCUUGAUUUUAGUUGCCAGCACUUCGGGUGGGCACUCUAGAAUGACUGCCGGUGACAAACCGGAGGAAGGCGGGGAUGACGUCAAAUCAUCAUGCCCCUUAUGACCUGGGCUACACACGUACUACAAUGGCCGGUACAACGGGCCGCGAAGCCGCGAGGUGGAGCCAAUCCUAAAAAGCCGGUCUCAGUUCGGAUUGCAGGCUGCAACUCGCCUGCAUGAAGUCGGAAUUGCUAGUAAUCGCGGAUCAGCAUGCCGCGGUGAAUACGUUCCCGGGUCUUGUACACACCGCCCGUCACACCACGAGAGUUUACAACACCCGAAGUCGGUGAGGUAACCGCAAGGAGCCAGCCGCCGAAGGUGGGGUAGAUGAUUGGGGUGAAGUCGUAACAAGGUAGCCGUAUCGGAAGGUGCGGCUGGAUCACCUCCUUUCUAUGGAG